GAAGGAUCAUUACCAAACUUGCGAACCCGGCUAACGUCGUGGUACGCUUCAACCCUUUGUGAACCAAAAAACCUUUUCGCUUCGGUUAGCAGGGAGCGGUUGCGGGUAAAACCCAACCAAUUCCGUCAGCCUGCCGGCAGCACCAAAAUUUAAACCUGUCGUCAAAUAUUGUCUGAAUACCAUAUUUUCGAAUGAAAAUUAAAACUUUCAACAACGGAUCUCUUGGUUCUCGCAUCGAUGAAGAACGCAGCGAAACGCGAUAGUUAAUGUGAAUUGCAGAAUUCAGUGAAUCAUCGAGUCUUUGAACGCACAUUGCGCCUAUUGGUAUUCCAUUAGGCAUGUCUGUUUGAGCGUCAUUACAACCCCUCAGCGCAAGCUGGUUUUGAGCCGGUCGGUCGUAAAAAGCUGACCGGUUUUAAAGUUGUAAGCUCUGCUGGCUGCUACGCCCAACCAAAAACAUAGUAAACUUUUGCUUGUUUGAAGGUGAGGCUUGCAGGUUUAACCGGCCUGAACAAAACCUACUAUUUCUAAGGUUUGACCUCAGAUCAGACAAGGAUACCCGCUGAACUUAAGCAUAUCAAUAAGCGGAGGAAGAGAAACCAACAGGGAUUGUCUCAGUAACGGCGAGUGAAGCGGCAAAAGCUCAAUUUGAAAUCUGGAGCCUUCGGCUUCCGAGUUGUAAUUUGAGAGGAUGUUUCGGUCGCGGCUUGGGCCCAAGUUCCUUGGAACAGGACGUCAUGGAAGGUGAGAAUCCCGUACGUGGCUACCGGCUUGCUUCUAUGUGAAACUCUUCGAGAGUCAGGUUGUUUGGGAAUGCAGCUCGAAAUGGG
RNAcentral lists this ribosomal RNA (830 nucleotides) under uncultured fungus. Its description in RNAcentral is "eukaryotic LSU rRNA". The stretch from base 536 to 830 matches the Rfam family "Eukaryotic large subunit ribosomal RNA", at positions 1 to 296 of the family's 3401-position model. Lineage: Eukaryota; Fungi. The record is from RNAcentral.